CGCAACAGAGAAGAGGAGGAAGCACCGUUGUUGGCGAUGACGAGGACACCGAAGCUCACAUCGCUCCAAUCGUCAAGCUCGAGGAGGUUGUUGUCACCACCGGCGAGGAAGACGAAGAUGCAAUUCUGGAUUUCUUUACCGGUUUGACAAGGAUGAGAACCAGUGGAAGGAGCAAGGCACCGGCACCGUGAAGUUCCUGAAGCAUAAGGCUUCUGGCAAUGUUAGCCAUCUCAUGAGGCAAUCCAAGAUGCUCAAGAUCUGCGCUAAUCAUCUCAUUUUGCCUACAAUGAGUGCGCAAGAGCAUGCCGGGAACGAGAAAUCCUGUGUCUUCUACUGAUAUGCCAAACAUAAGUAUAUUCUUGUUUAGUGCAUUGCUCUGGUUACUUCACCAGCUUAACAAUUUCUUCCUUAUUACUAUGUUAAAUCAUAUUGGUAUUCUUUUAUUAAA
Molecule: long non-coding RNA, 448 nt
Organism: Glycine soja
Lineage: Eukaryota; Viridiplantae; Streptophyta; Magnoliopsida; Fabales; Fabaceae
Exons: 3
Source: RefSeq, a predicted model, not a curated record